GACGAACGCUGGCGGCGUGCUUAACACAUGCAAGUCGAGCGGAAAGGCCACUUCGGUGGUACUCGAGCGGCGAACGGGUGAGUAACACGUGAGUAAUCUGCCCCUGGCUUUGGGAUAGCCACCGGAAACGGUGAUUAAUACCGGAUACGACCACUUCUCGCAUGGGAUGGUGGUGGAAAGUUUUUUCGGCCAGGGAUGUGCUCGCGGCCUAUCAGCUUGAUGGUGAGGUAAUGGCUCACCAUGGCUUCGACGGGUAGCCGGCCUGAGAGGGUGACCGGUCACAGUGGGACUGAGACACGGCCCAGACUCCUACGGGGGGAAGCAGUGGGGAAUAUUGGACAAUGGGCGGAAGCCUGAUCCAGCAACGCCGCGUGAGGGAUGACGGCCUUCGGGUUGUAAACCUCUUUCAGCAGGGACGAAGCGCAAGUGACGGUACCUGCAGAAGAAGCACCGGCCAACUACGUGCCAGCAGCCGCCGUAA
RNAcentral lists this ribosomal RNA (481 nucleotides) under uncultured bacterium. RNAcentral's name for it is "partial 16S ribosomal RNA". It matches the Rfam family "Bacterial small subunit ribosomal RNA", at positions 28 to 523 of the family's 1533-position model. The record is from RNAcentral.